UGCCGCGUGAGUGAAGAAGGCCUUCGGGUUGUAAAGCUCUUUUGUCAGGGAAGAAACGGUGGACUCUAAUACAGAUCACUAAUGACGGUACCUGAAGAAUAAGCACCGGCUAACUACGUGCCAGCAGCCGCGGUAAUACGUAGGGUGCAAGCGUUAAUCGGAAUUACUGGGCGUAAAGCGUGCGCAGGCGGUUUGGUAAGACAGAUGUGAAAUCCCUGGGCUCAACCUGGGAAUUGCAUUUGAGACUGCCCGACUAGAGUGUGUCAGAGGGGGGUAGAAUUCCACGUGUAGCAGUGAAAUGCGUAGAGAUGUGGAGGAAUACCGAUGGCGAAGGCAGCCCCCUGGGAUAACACUGACGCUCAUGCACGAAAGCGUGGGGAGCAAACAGGAUUAGAUACCCUGGUAGUCCACGCCCUAAACGAUGUCUACUAGUUGUUGGGUCUUAAUUGACUUAGUAACGCAGCUAACGCGUGAAGUAUACCGCCUGGG
This 489-nucleotide ribosomal RNA is filed under the name uncultured bacterium. Its description in RNAcentral is "bacterial SSU rRNA". It matches the Rfam family "Bacterial small subunit ribosomal RNA", at positions 395 to 877 of the family's 1533-position model. The record is from RNAcentral.